This 558-nucleotide ribosomal RNA is filed under the name uncultured bacterium. Its description in RNAcentral is "partial 16S ribosomal RNA". It matches the Rfam family "Bacterial small subunit ribosomal RNA", at positions 355 to 906 of the family's 1533-position model. The record is from RNAcentral.
UGGGGAAUUUUGGACAAUUGGGCGAAAGCCUGAUCCAGCAAUGCCGCGUGUGUGAAGAAGGCCUUCGGGUUGUAAAGCACUUUUGUCCGGAAAGAAAUCCUUGGCUCUAAUACAGUCGGGGGAUGACGGUACCGGAAGAAUAAGCACCGGCUAACUACGUGCCAGCAGCCGCGGUAAUACGUAGGGUGCAAGCGUUAAUCGGAAUUACUGGGCGUAAAGCGUGCGCAGGCGGUUGCUAAGACCCGAUGUGAAAUCCCCGGGCUCAACCUGGGAACUGCAUUGGUGACUGGCAGGCUAGAGUAUGGCAGAGGGGGGUAGAAUUCCACGUGUAGCAGUGAAAUGCGUAGAGAUGUGGAGGAAUACCGAUGGCGAAGGCAGCCCCCUGGGCCAAUACUGACGCUCAUGCACGAAAGCGUGGGGAGCAAACAGGAUUAGAUACCCUGGUAGUCCACGCCCUAAACGAUGUCAACUAGUUGUUGGGGACUUCAUUUCCUUAGUAACGUAGCUAACGCGUGAAGUUGACCGCCUGGGGAGUACGUCGCAAGAUUAAACUUAAUG